Molecule: transfer RNA, 66 nt
Filed under: Catacanthus incarnatus
Lineage: Eukaryota; Metazoa; Arthropoda; Insecta; Hemiptera; Pentatomidae
Description: tRNA-Asp
Rfam family: tRNA
About the family: Transfer RNA (tRNA) molecules are approximately 80 nucleotides in length. Their secondary structure includes four short double-helical elements and three loops (D, anti-codon, and T loops).
Source: RNAcentral
AAAGGUUUAGUUUAAAUAAAACAUUAAUUUGUCAAGUUAAAGAUAUUAAUUAUUUAAUAAUCUUUA